RNAcentral lists this ribosomal RNA (465 nucleotides) under Vreelandella stevensii. Its description in RNAcentral is "partial 16S ribosomal RNA". It matches the Rfam family "Bacterial small subunit ribosomal RNA", at positions 338 to 795 of the family's 1533-position model. Lineage: Bacteria; Pseudomonadati; Pseudomonadota; Gammaproteobacteria; Oceanospirillales; Halomonadaceae. The record is from RNAcentral.
CCUACGGGCGGCAGCAGUGGGGAAUAUUGGACAAUGGGGGGAACCCUGAUCCAGCCAUGCCGCGUGUGUGAAGAAGGCCCUCGGGUUGUAAAGCACUUUCAGUGAGGAAGAACGCCUGGUGGUUAAUACCCAUCAGGAAAGACAUCACUCACAGAAGAAGCACCGGCUAACUCCGUGCCAGCAGCCGCGGUAAUACGGAGGGUGCGAGCGUUAAUCGGAAUUACUGGGCGUAAAGCGCGCGUAGGUGGCUUGAUAAGCCGGUUGUGAAAGCCCCGGGCUCAACCUGGGAACAGCAUCCGGAACUGUCAAGCUAGAGUGCAGGAGAGGAAGGUAGAAUUCCCGGUGUAGCGGUGAAAUGCGUAGAGAUCGGGAGGAAUACCAGUGGCGAAGGCGGCCUUCUGGACUGACACUGACACUGAGGUGCGAAAGCGUGGGUAGCAAACAGGAUUAGAUACCCCUGUAGUC